GUGCCCAUAGUUCAACGGCAGAACGUCUGACUGUGGAUCAGAAGGCUGUGGGUUCGAAACCCACUGGGCACCCCA
RNAcentral lists this transfer RNA (75 nucleotides) under Chloroflexota bacterium. RNAcentral describes it as "Chloroflexi bacterium tRNA-His". It matches the Rfam family "tRNA". Rfam says of the family: Transfer RNA (tRNA) molecules are approximately 80 nucleotides in length. Their secondary structure includes four short double-helical elements and three loops (D, anti-codon, and T loops). Further hydrogen bonds mediate the characteristic L-shaped molecular structure. tRNAs have two regions of fundamental functional importance: the anti-codon, which is responsible for specific mRNA codon recognition, and the 3' end, to which the tRNAs corresponding amino acid is attached (by aminoacyl-tRNA synthetases). tRNAs cope with the degeneracy of the genetic code in two manners: having more than one tRNA (with a specific anti-codon) for a particular amino acid; and 'wobble' base-pairing, i.e. permitting non-standard base-pairing at the 3rd anti-codon position. The record is from RNAcentral. Lineage: Bacteria; Bacillati; Chloroflexota.